AAUGUGGAAAGCCGUGUCUCAGAGGCUAGGUCCCCAGGGAAAUUCUGAAAUGAGAACCAGGCCGACUGUGUGUUUAUCUGACUCUUCUUCAUUCUAACAGGACUUGGAAGAAAAAGGGCAGGAGGUACUCCACUGCACCAAGUUAGCCCAGCAUUUCCAGGGCUCUCAUGUGUGAAUGUAGGUGUAGUGCAUCAUUAUCCUGAGGACCUCACCAACUGGAAGUUACAGUUUUCACCAUCAGCUUACCUUAUCCCAUUUGGUCUGAUUCUUUUCCUCAAAGAGUGGAAACUUCUUUCUUUCAAGUUGCUUUUGUUG
Molecule: long non-coding RNA, 315 nt
Organism: Enhydra lutris kenyoni (northern sea otter)
Lineage: Eukaryota; Metazoa; Chordata; Mammalia; Carnivora; Mustelidae
Exons: 3
Source: RefSeq, a predicted model, not a curated record